RNAcentral lists this ribosomal RNA (253 nucleotides) under uncultured bacterium. RNAcentral's name for it is "partial 16S ribosomal RNA". It matches the Rfam family "Bacterial small subunit ribosomal RNA", at positions 524 to 776 of the family's 1533-position model. The record is from RNAcentral.
UACGGGGGGGACAAGCGUUGUUCGGAAUUACUGGGCGUAAAGGGCUCGUAGGUGGCCAACUAAGUCAGACGUGAAAUCCCUCGGCUUAACCGGGGAACUGCGUCUGAUACUGGAAGGCUUGAAUCCGGGAGAGGGAUGCGGAAUUCCAGGUGUAGCGGUGAAAUGCGUAGAUAUCUGGAGGAACACCGGUGGCGAAGGCGGCAUCCUGGACCGGCAUUGACGCUGAGGCGCGAAAGCCAGGGGAGCAAACGGG